GGGGAAUAUUGCACAAUGGGGGAAACCCUGAUGCAGCAACGCCGCGUGAGUGAAGAAGGCCUUCGGGUCGUAAAGCUCUGUCCUAAGGGAAGAACAAAAUGACAUUACCUUAGGAGGAAGCCCCGGCUAACUACGUGCCAGCAGCCGCGGUAAUACGUAGGGGGCAAGCGUUAUCCGGAAUCAUUGGGCGUAAAGGGUGCGUAGGCGGCCUAUAAAGUCUGGGGUGAAAGGCUACGGCUUAACCGUAGUAAGCCUUGGAAACUUAUGGGCUUGAGUGCAGGAGAGGAGAGUGGAAUUCCUAGUGUAGCGGUGAAAUGCGUAGAUAUUAGGAGGAACACCAGUGGCGAAGGCGACUCUCUGGACUGUAACUGACGCUGAGGCACGAAAGCGUGGGUAGCGAAC
RNAcentral lists this ribosomal RNA (402 nucleotides) under uncultured bacterium. Its description in RNAcentral is "bacterial SSU rRNA". It matches the Rfam family "Bacterial small subunit ribosomal RNA", at positions 356 to 773 of the family's 1533-position model. The record is from RNAcentral.